CAUUAUGUCGGGCUGGGCAGGCAGUCGCAAGACUGGCCGGUUUCUUGAAUCCGGUACGCCAACCUGUUCAGUCCGGCACCAGC
This 83-nucleotide non-coding RNA is filed under the name Methylobacter tundripaludum SV96. Lineage: Bacteria; Pseudomonadati; Pseudomonadota; Gammaproteobacteria; Methylococcales; Methylococcaceae. The record is from RNAcentral.